CGUGGCCCCGCCGCCGGCUGCAGGAUAAAGAAGCCGGGAAACGCUCCUCGGCUCCAGGCUCCAGGGAUAACCAACUACACACUGCUCUGCAGCUGCACGGAAGGAUGGGCCUGAGUAGGAGGUCUGUCUUACCACCUCUUCCUAUGCUGAGGCACUUCUGUACUGCUUGAGUUGAUGUAUAAACUUUUAUAAGUGCUAUCACUAGCCAUGGAAUCACUAACCAGUGUAAAAAGGCUCUAUGUGGAGCUAGUGCAUCAUUCAGUACACUCCACCAUCCUCAGGCCUUCUGCAUGAAAUGAACACUGUAAAUACACUUGCAGAUGACUGCUACAAAAUCCUUGUGAAGCUCCAAGCAGAACAUGAGGACAGAACCUUGUCUUUCUGUCUGUGUUAUCCCUGAUGCACCUGAUUGUUGUACAUCUCUCAGUCAAAGUCAUGGACCAUGGAUUCUCUUCAGCUGCACACAGGUCUGUGAGUCUGAGAUCCAUCAGCUGAACAGGGACUACUUUCUUCUGCCUUUCUAGAAGUCACUAAAUGCUGAGACCAAGCCAGCAGAAAGUGUCCCAUGCCCUCUGUUAAGCCAGUGCACUUCUAUACUGUCCAAAGUUGAUGUUCAAAGCCAACCUUCAACAGCACAUACAUACCUGUAACACAGAGGUCCACAGAACAGGCACUCAGCAUUUAAGAUCUGCUUAGAAAAAUGUACUAUUCAUCACUGAACACUUAAUUCCUUAAUUCCUCACAGGUGAUUCUAAAUAGACCAAGCUUCUCACUCGUCUCCCCUGUGUUCAGGGUGUCUUAUUUUGCACAAUUCUUUCCACUGGCACCUCUCCAAGUUUCUGUCACACAGUACCUGCAACUUCAGGGAGCCAGGAAGAACUAAAGCAGCUCACCAUUUCCAUAACUAUCCCUACUCCAGUGAAGCAGAGAAGCUCCAUAAUGGAUUUCGUGUAAAGCUUCCAGUAUUCUGGCUUUAUUUCCAACUACACAGGGUGUUCAUCAGCUGACAAAGGUGGCAACACAUAGGAUUUAAUACUCUCUACUGUAUUUAGGAUUUAAUACUAUCUCUACUGUCUCGACUGCACAACUACAGUAUGUACAGAAAGGUAUAGCCUGAGCACAUUUAUUACUGAAGGUGACACAGGUCAAAAGCUGGUUCAUGUGUACUGUGGCAAAGAUUAGCUCCCUGCCUUACUAUGUGAUUAAAUGCCAUUUAUGAGAUUACCAGACAGUCUGUUAUGCAAUCCAAUUACCCAGGGUUUAAGACUGUGAUACAAGAAGCUUUCCACCAUGUCAGUGGUUUAAAAGAAGCCUCACCUGAAGGCUUAGAAAAUUACUCUGUCUUGUGAGUAAUUAUUUACAAUUAUUACCUUACUUAAAAGUCUCAGAGAAGUCCACCAAAAUAAGAAUGGGCUUUUAAGCUUGGGAAAAGCUUCUUUCAGGGAAAAAGUAAAAUAGAAGUUUACUUAACUAUUUUACUUUUUUCUGUACUUGUUCUAUGGAUUAAUAGUUGUGAAAAAUAGACUUGGCUUUCUGAAUUCUGUCCCAAAGACUCCCAUGCAUUCACGAAACAGGAAGUGAAACACCACACCACUCCAAACUCCAAGCAGGUCUCAUGUUUAUUGAAAUAGCUCAAGCUUAAUAAACAUGAUGCACAUGGCUCUUCCCACACCACAUACCCUCACAACUGUUAAAUUAGCCACACUGGAUUCCUACAGAAGCUUCCCUUCAGCACAGCAAAGUAAAGCACACCUGGUUGUGCUUUACAAAAGACCAAAGUCUCAUAAACCAAUGAACCAACCACUUCAUCCCUAAACAACACCUGACAAUUCCCUGAGUCUGAAUUACGAAUAAUAAAAAAAAAUACCCAAAGAAACAAGUCAGAAUUUACAACCUGUGACUAUUUCUGCAAAUUUUUUUUAUUUUUUGAUUUUUUUUUACAAAAUAAGUUUGCCUCUAUUUAAAAUGCAUUAUUUCCUAUGAUGUGUAGAAAGGCUCUUUAUUCUGUUGGGAUUACUGAGGAAAUCUGAGUUGAAUCCAACUAUGGCACAGAAAUUAUCAUCUGGACUGAGGCAACUGACUCUGGAGAUCGUUCAUUUGGCACAGAACUUCAAUGCAUCUCAGAGAAACCAAAGUCCAAUGGAAAGAGCUCCAAAGUCAGCCCCCUGAGGCAGAUGUGAAGCCUCUUCCCCAUUAAAUGGGUCUUAGCCCCAGUUUGAAGUAGACAAAUUGAGCUGUUGUAAUACUGUCAGGCUUCUCCAGGCUAUUAUUUAGU
This is a long non-coding RNA of Passer domesticus (house sparrow), 2275 nucleotides long. RefSeq lists it as uncharacterized. NCBI's taxonomy places the organism in Eukaryota, Metazoa, Chordata, Aves, Passeriformes, Passeridae. The transcript is spliced from 2 exons. The record is from RefSeq and is a predicted model, not a curated record.